This 483-nucleotide ribosomal RNA is filed under the name uncultured bacterium. Its description in RNAcentral is "bacterial SSU rRNA". It matches the Rfam family "Bacterial small subunit ribosomal RNA", at positions 28 to 526 of the family's 1533-position model. The record is from RNAcentral.
GACGAACGCUGGCGGCGUGCUUAACACAUGCAAGUCGAGCGGUAAGGCUCCUUCGGGGGUACACGAGCGGCGAACGGGUGAGUAACACGUGAGUAAUCUGCCCUUCACUAUGGGAUAAGCACUCGAAAGGGUGUCUAAUACCGUAUAUGACAUACUUGCGCAUGUGGGUGUGUGGAAAGUUUUUUCGGUGGGGGAUGUGCUCGCGGCCUAUCAGCUUGUUGGUGGGGUAAUGGCCUACCAAGGCUUUGACGGGUAGCCGGCCUGAGAGGGUGACCGGCCACACUGGGACUGAGACACGGCCCAGACUCCUACGGGAGGCAGCAGUGGGGAAUAUUGGACAAUGGGCGGAAGCCUGAUCCAGCAACGCCGCGUGAGGGAUGACGGCCUUCGGGUUGUAAACCUCUUUCAGCACAGACGAAGCGCAAGUGACGGUAUGUGCAGAAGAAGGACCGGCCAACUACGUGCCAGCAGCCGCAGUAACAC